Molecule: ribosomal RNA, 391 nt
Filed under: uncultured bacterium
Lineage: Bacteria
Description: bacterial SSU rRNA
Rfam family: Bacterial small subunit ribosomal RNA
Source: RNAcentral
GACGAACGCUGGCGGCGUGCUUAACACAUGCAAGUCGAGCGGUAAGGCCCUUUCGGGGGGUACACGAGCGGCGAACGGGUGAGUAACACGUGGGUGACCUGCCCUCAGCUCUGGGAUAAGCCUGGGAAACCGGGUCUAAUACUGGAUAUGACUCCAUGACGCAUGUUGUGGGGUGGAAAGCCUUGUGCGGCUGAGGAUGGGCCCGCGGCCUAUCAGCUUGUUGGUGGGGUGAUGGCCUACCAAGGCGACGACGGGUAGCCGGCCUGAGAGGGCGACCGGCCACACUGGGACUGAGACACGGCCCAGACUCCUACGGGAGGCAGCAGUGGGGAAUCUUGCGCAAUGGGCGAAAGCCUGACGCAGCGACGCCGCGUGAGGGAUGACGGCCUGG